This 500-nucleotide ribosomal RNA is filed under the name uncultured bacterium. RNAcentral's name for it is "partial 16S ribosomal RNA". It matches the Rfam family "Bacterial small subunit ribosomal RNA", at positions 30 to 523 of the family's 1533-position model. The record is from RNAcentral.
AUUGAACGCUGGCGGAAUGCUUUACACAUGCAAGUCGAACGGCAGCACGGACUUCGGUCUGGUGGCGAGUGGCGAACGGGUGAGUAAUGUAUCGGAACGUGCCCAGUCGUGGGGGAUAACGUAGUGAAAAUUACGCUAAUACCGCAUACGAUCUAUGGAUGAAAGCGGGGGAUCGCAAGACCUCGCGCGAUUGGAGCGGCCGAUAGCAGAUUAGGUAGUUGGUGGGGUAAAGGCCGACCAAGCCAACGAUCUGUAGCUGGUCUGAGAGGACGACCAGCCACACUGGAACUGAGACACGGUCCAGACUCCUACGGGAGGCAGCAUUGGGGAAUUUUGGACAAUGGGCGAAAGCCUGAUCCAGCCAUUCCGCGUGCAGGAUGAAGGCCCUCGGGUUGUAAACUGCUUUUGUACAGAACGAAAAGGUUUCUACUAAUACUAGGAGCUCACGACGGUACUGUAAGAAUAAGCACCGGCUAACUACGUGCCAGCCGCCGCGGUAA